This 3345-nucleotide unclassified non-coding RNA is filed under the name Stylophora pistillata. Its description in RNAcentral is "uncharacterized LOC111340036, transcript variant X2". The record is from RNAcentral. Lineage: Eukaryota; Metazoa; Cnidaria; Anthozoa; Scleractinia; Pocilloporidae.
UUAACCGUGCUUACUUGCAAAGCGUUGCUAAUGUUAUUUUAGAACAUUGAUCGAUAUUAGUUAGUGCGCAAUUCCUUCAGUUGAUUAAUUAUUCGUGGCUUCCAUUCAGGUUGCGUCAUUCGAAUUUUAAAUUUGACUUCUUAACUAUCGGCUUUGUUAAAUUCGGAAACAAAGUUUCACAUUAACUUUGCAAUUCUAUUUGGCAAUAGAAAGCUGAUUAACGAGGAAUGUGUUAAUUACAAGCGCGUGAGCUUAGUUGGACCUGUACAAGCCGCUAUCAUAUAUAAUUCGUACCAUGACCACCCUAAUCGUUUCAAAUAGUUAAAACCUCUUAGCUGAAAACCUUUAGGCAUUAUGUAGAACCACUGCUCGGAAUUGAGAGGGAAAUCGUUAUUGCGUCAAAACUCGUCUGAGGCCAAUUUCUGGUUGAAAGUAUUGUUCACAAAUCUCGCUGUUAAUGAACUUGUUUUUACUUAGUGUCAAUGUUUUCAGACUUUCUUUGGUUCGAUUAGUUGUAUUGAUUAUUAUGUCUGUGUUAAGUUUAUUACCUUACCCGUGUGCACUUAAAAUGAUAAACCUCUCUGAAACUGAUACGAUUUUAUGGACCUAUUUUUCAGAUAAUUCUCCAAUACGAAUUUAAGAAGAGGAACGAAGCACGAUGUCCUUUGAACUUGCAUCAAAUGGCACAAGUCCUCCUUCUUCUAUGUUGAAAAAAGAGAUACUGCUUCUUUUAGAGAGUUGUAAAGAUUGUAUGGACAUUCUUGGUAAAGAAUUACGAAUCGAUACGACACAAUGUAAGGCAGUCUGUGAGGUUGUUGCUACUUCUGAAGAAAGAGAUGGCCAAGAACUGUCAUUAGAUAAGUGGAUGUCCAUAUUUCAAAGCCUUGGAUGUCCAGAAGAAUUUGAAAAGCUCCUUGAGGAAGAUGUAUUACUUGAUGUCAACACUUUGGAUAAUUGUCCUCCAGAUAGCUCUAGCAACCAUACACAAGAGACUCUUCUAAAGGAAUCAGAAGAGUUGAGACAACAGAAAAUCAAGCCUGUUGAUGGACAUUCAAGACUUUCUGAAAGUGAAUUGAAGUCAAACUUGCCAUCCAAGCCAGGAGAUAAUGUAGAGGAGACUUGGAAGACAAGCACUGCCCUAGGUAAUAGCCCAGAAUUGGGUUUACCACCUCCUCUGGAAGAUGAAACAAGUAUGGAACUUGUGAAAGACACUACAACAGUUCUGAAAGAUGAUGAUGAAGAACAUCAAUAUCCAGAAGUUGGCAAAGGUUCAGAAAGUAUGGUGUUAUCUGUUGGACAAAAGGAAAACAGUCAGACAAAUGCAAGUAGCUUACUAGAAGAAGAGAGCCAUUCAACAUCACAAAUCAAUGACGAUGGUAAUUUGAAUUCAGGUGACUUAAGGUCAAGAUCACAACCAGUCACUUCUAAUGCAACAAAUUCUCCUCUACCAAUAGUUACAGGGCAUCAGUACCGUCCAAACAGCCCAAAAGCUGGUGAAGUCAUUGCUGUCAAUCAAGAUGGGCAGAACCUUCAAGAACAUGGGAGAGUGUUAUGUGCUGCUUUUUCACUACCAUUAGCUAAUGAGAGUAGCUUAACAGCUAACCACCUAUUCCAUGAGGGCACUCCAUCUCACAUAUCUGGUAUGGAUGAAGAAACAGACAGCAGGUCAUGGUCACAGAUUGAAACAGUUUCUAUUCCAAACCUAGAUGGUUUGAGUACAGGAUCAAGACCAGUUUCUCCUGAUGCAGCAAAUUACCAGAUACUGCCUGUUGAAAGUCACCAAUUACAUCCAAGCAAGCAAAUGAACUGUCAUGCAAAUGCUGUGGAUCAUGAUUGGCAGACCUUGGGAGGGGGAAUGCCGCUUGAUGCUCAACCAUCAUCAGCCAGUAGUUUACCAGCUUUGCAUGCAAAGCCUGUAGUGCAGGAUCCUGUGGGCCAAUUCCACCAGACUACUGAAAUUGACUCAUAUGGUGCAGAUGAAGCAGAAGACAGCAGUUCAUCAUCACAGAGUGAUACAGAUGGGAGUUUGUCUGCGGGUGACUCAAAGGCACAAUCAAGACUAACUACAAUUUCCCCUCAACUUCAUCUAUUACCUCCAAACAACCUGAUGUCUGGUAAAGCAGCUGUGAUGACUGUUGGGCCAGCUAUGCUGGAAAACAAGGGAAUGCCACUUGAUGCUCAACUGUCACCAGCCAUCAGUGCAAGUAGUUUACCAGCUUUGCAUGCAAGGCCUGUAGUGCAGGAUCCUGUGGGCCAGUUCCACCAGACUACUGCAACUGACACAUAUGGCGCAGGUGAAGCAGAGGACAGCAGUUCAUCAUCACAGAGUGAUGCAGAUGGGAGUUUAUCUUGGAAUGACUCAGGAACACAAUCAAGACCAGUUACUCCUCAAGCUGCAAUUUCCCCUCAACUUCGUCUAUUACCUCUAAACAACCCAAUGCCUGGUAAAGCAAAUUCAGCUGUGAGUCCUGAUAGGCCAGUCUUAAACAGGGGAAUGCCACUUGAUGCUCAACUGUCACCAACCAUUGAUGCAAGCAGUUUACCAGCUCUGCAUGCAAGGCCUGCAGUGCAGAAUCCUGUUUGCCAAGUUCACCAGGGUAUGGCUCAUGCCACACACAGCACAGAUGAAGGGGAAAGUAGUGGUUCACCAUCAGAAAAUGAUGAUGCGACUCAGGACGUGAAUAUUCUUCAACAGGUUCAGGCACCUUUUCAAUUGGGGGAAAUUGCCUUUUUGACUCGGAACCUGUGGAAGAUGACUGAAAAAUAUGAGGCAUGCAUGGAAGACCUACAGGCAUGUGAGCAAGACCUGCAGCAUUCUAGACAACAGUGUGCUCAGCUUCAAGGAACCAGUGAUGAGUUGCAAAGAUAUCUGGAUUACAGCAACUAUCUGCAACAAGAAAAUCAGCGCCUGAUAGGAAUGACUCAAGAGAUGUGUGAAUGUAAAGAUCAGGCAAUUCAGCAACUCAGACAGGAAAAUGAAAGUCUUAGAGGGGAACAGCUACAGAUGCUCCGUCAAAUGGCCCAAAGACACAACAGUUAUCAGCAACAGGUAGAGCACUUAGAAAGGGAAUGUCAAGAACGAUCAGAACAUCUCAGGCCAUUGUGAAGCGUUUUCGGCAAGUUAGCGCUAUGUUGGUGUUUUAGCAGUUCCUAGCUUUGGGAUGUUGUAGCGCUAGCUAACUCAAAGAAAAACAGAAACAUUAAAGCUUAUAAUGUUAACUUUAUCUCAAUGGCCAGAAGAACUGACUUUUGUUUCAAAACAACGAACUGCGACAGACUGUUGCCGAGGUCCGACAGUUACGAGAAUGUGUUCUUGAAGCGGGAUAUGAGAGGUUGAGGCUUGAA